UACAGAGGGUGCAAGCGUUAAUCGGAAUUAUUGGGCGUAAAGAGCGCGUAGGUGGAUUUGAAAGUUAGAUGUGAAAUCCCUGGGCUUAACCUGGGAACUGCAUUCAAAACUCCAAGUCUAGAGUAUAGUAGAGGGAAGUGGAAUUUCCGGUGUAGCGGUGAAAUGCGUAGAUAUCGGAAAGAACAUCAGUGGCGAAGGCGACUUCCUGGACUAAUACUGACACUGAGGUGCGAAAGCGUGGGGAGCAAACAGG
Molecule: ribosomal RNA, 253 nt
Filed under: uncultured bacterium
Lineage: Bacteria
Description: partial 16S ribosomal RNA
Rfam family: Bacterial small subunit ribosomal RNA
Source: RNAcentral